UACGUAGGGUGCAAGCGUUGUCCGGAAUUAUUGGGCGUAAAGAGCUCGUAGGCGGUCUGUCGCGUCGGCUGUGAAAACCCGGAGCUCAACUCCGGGCCUGCAGUCGAUACGGGCAGACUGGAGUUCGGCAGGGGAGACUGGAAUUCCUGGUGUAGCGGUGAAAUUCGUAGAUAUCAGGAGGAACACCAGUGGCGAAGGCGGCUUUCUGGACGAUUACUGACGUGAGACGCGAAAGCGUGGGGAGCAAACAGG
Molecule: ribosomal RNA, 252 nt
Filed under: uncultured bacterium
Lineage: Bacteria
Description: partial 16S ribosomal RNA
Rfam family: Bacterial small subunit ribosomal RNA
Source: RNAcentral